Molecule: ribosomal RNA, 546 nt
Filed under: Peptostreptococcus stomatis
Lineage: Bacteria; Bacillati; Bacillota; Clostridia; Peptostreptococcales; Peptostreptococcaceae
Description: bacterial SSU rRNA
Rfam family: Bacterial small subunit ribosomal RNA
Source: RNAcentral
AAGCCUGAUGCAGCAACGCCGCGUGAACGAUGAAGGUCUUCGGAUCGUAAAGUUCUGUUGCAGGGGAAGAUAAUGACGGUACCCUGUGAGGAAGCCCCGGCUAACUACGUGCCAGCAGCCGCGGUAAUACGUAGGGGGCUAGCGUUAUCCGGAUUUACUGGGCGUAAAGGGUGCGUAGGUGGUCCUUCAAGUCGGUGGUUAAAGGCUACGGCUCAACCGUAGUAAGCCGCCGAAACUGGAGGACUUGAGUGCAGGAGAGGAAAGUGGAAUUCCCAGUGUAGCGGUGAAAUGCGUAGAUAUUGGGAGGAACACCAGUAGCGAAGGCGGCUUUCUGGACUGCAACUGACACUGAGGCACGAAAGCGUGGGUAGCAAACAGGAUUAGAUACCCUGGUAGUCCACGCUGUAAACGAUGAGUACUAGGUGUCGGGGGUUACCCCCCUCGGUGCCGCAGCUAACGCAUUAAGUACUCCGCCUGGGGAGUACGCACGCAAGUGUGAAACUCAAAGAAUUGACGGGGACCGCACAAGUAGCGGAGCAUGUGGUU